This 189-nucleotide ribosomal RNA is filed under the name Staphylococcus aureus. RNAcentral's name for it is "partial 23S ribosomal RNA". It matches the Rfam family "Bacterial large subunit ribosomal RNA", at positions 1 to 186 of the family's 2925-position model. The record is from RNAcentral. Lineage: Bacteria; Bacillati; Bacillota; Bacilli; Caryophanales; Staphylococcaceae.
AGAUUAAGUUAUUAAGGGCGCACGGUGGAUGCCUUGGCACUAGAAGCCGAUGAAGGACGUUACUAACGACGAUAUGCUUUGGGGAGCUGUAAGUAAGCUUUGAUCCAGAGAUUUCCGAAUGGGGAAACCCAGCAUGAGUUAUGUCAUGUUAUCGAUAUGUGAAUACAUAGCAUAUCAGAAGGCACACCC